UGUAAGAUGAAUACGAUGAAGAUGAUGG
RNAcentral lists this small RNA (28 nucleotides) under Bombyx mori (domestic silkworm). RNAcentral's name for it is "ovarian small RNA-8883". The record is from RNAcentral. Lineage: Eukaryota; Metazoa; Arthropoda; Insecta; Lepidoptera; Bombycidae.